GGAAGAUAGAGUUGUACUGUGACCACAGUUACCUAGGAGUCUGUAUUUUUAGUUUAAUUUUUUAUUGAUCUAUAAAGUGGUGCACCAGAGCAGGCUAGUCCCAGGUAGUUAAUUAUGCAUAAGCAGUUGCAAAGUUCGAUUUUGCCGUAUAAUAUUGAGCCACAUAUUCUUCACAGUAUAUUUUGCUCAUACCUACUGCAGACUUCCACAUGACAGCUGAAUUGCAAACUGUAAAUGGUUGAAGACAGAAGACUUAUUAUAGAUUUUAUAUCCAGCCCAUGAGGAUUUUGACUGAUUCCAUUGAGCAGGCUCAGGUGAAAAACGGAAGGGCCAAGACAAAUUAAGUGACUUGUCCAGGAUCACACAACCAGUUAUUAGCUCUACUGAGAAAAAAAUACACAUCUCUUGACGCCCAGAUGGGUGUUUUGUUUUCGUUAUUUAGCAUUUCGAGUGCUUCUGUACAACAUACCAUUUGUAUUCUUUGAAACAAACUCUUCGGAUAUUUCCAGGUGUUUUUCACAUUUCUGACCUGAGAGAAAGUAUACCUAAUGGUAUAAGUAGACUUAAAAUCUAUUUAAAAUUCUCAAAAGUUUCGAAUGCUGUUCUUUUAGUAACUACUUAAAA
This 624-nucleotide long non-coding RNA is filed under the name Pan troglodytes (chimpanzee). RNAcentral describes it as "lincRNA". The record is from RNAcentral. Lineage: Eukaryota; Metazoa; Chordata; Mammalia; Primates; Hominidae.